RNAcentral lists this long non-coding RNA (863 nucleotides) under Homo sapiens (human). RNAcentral describes it as "HSALNT0298406". The record is from RNAcentral. Lineage: Eukaryota; Metazoa; Chordata; Mammalia; Primates; Hominidae.
CGUGCAUGUAAUUGGCAUGAGAUCUAGAAAGGUAAGUAUGCAGCCAAGCACCAUGGCUCACUCCUGUAAUCCCAGCACUUUUGGAAGCUGAGGCAGGAGCAUCACUUGACCUCAAUAAUUCAAGACCAGUAUGGGCAACAUAGUGAGACCCUGUCUCUACAAAAAAAAAAAAUAAUAAUUAAAAAUAAUUAGCUGGACGUGGUGGUGCAUGCUUGUAGUCCCUGUUACUCAGGAGACUGAAGCAGGAAGAUUGUGUGAGCCCAGGAGGUUGAGGCUGUAGAGACUUGUGAUUGUACCACUGCACUCCAGCCUGUGUGACAGAGCAAGACUGUCUCAAAAAAUAAAAAGAAAUAAAAGAGUAGAAGUUAAAGGAGAAGAAAAUGAGAUCUUUCCAAGCCUUCCUGAAAGAAAAUGAGAAAUACGUCAUUGGCUCUGAAAGCACAAAUGUGAUGAAGCUGAGACCAGGCCUUGCAAGGAAGGCUGAUUGACAGGAUGUGAAGCUGAUGCAGGGCCAUUUGUUGGGGUGAUACUGCAGAGCACCAGCUGGGUCUGUAGAUAGAGGCAAGUAAUGACAGUGCUGCCUCUCACCUCUCCCAUCAUCUUGUGCCUUCCUGUGUGCCUAAAGUCAAGAGGACUUUACUUGUGUUUGGGGCCUUCUCUGAUUAACACAAGGCAGUGGCAGGGAUGGGGGCAGCAGAAAAAGAAAGAAGCAUCUUGUGACCCAGGAAGACAGUGGCCUUGGCAUAUUUGUAUAUAAUUUAGAAAAUCAGGAUCUAUGUACCUUGCUUGACUCAUAGUAGGUAUUCAAUAAACUGUUGUACUUUCUUAGAAAAAAAAAGCCAUGAAUAAAUGCAUCUACUCGA